Molecule: ribosomal RNA, 253 nt
Filed under: uncultured bacterium
Lineage: Bacteria
Also listed under: 1 other name
Description: partial 16S ribosomal RNA
Rfam family: Bacterial small subunit ribosomal RNA
Source: RNAcentral
UACGGAGGGUGCAAGCGUUAUCCGGAUUCACUGGGUUUAAAGGGUGCGUAGGUGGGCAGGUAAGUCAGUGGUGAAAUCCCCGAGCUUAACUUGGGAACUGCCGUUGAUACUAUCUGUCUUGAAUAUCGUGGAGGUUAGCGGAAUAUGUCAUGUAGCGGUGAAAUGCUUAGAGAUGACAUAGAACACCAAUUGCGAAGGCAGCUGGCUACACGGUAAUUGACACUGAGGCACGAAAGCGUGGGGAGCAAACAGG